GAUGAACGCUGGCGGCGUGCCUAAUACAUGCAAGUCGAGCGAACAGAUAAGGAGCUUGCUCCUUUGACGUUAGCGGCGGACGGGUGAUUAACACGUGGUUAACCUCCCUAUAAGACUGGGAUAACUUCGGGAAACCGGAGCUAAUACCGGAUAACAGUUUGAACCGCAUGGUUCUAAAGUGAAAGAUUGUUUUGCUAUCACUUAUAGAUGGACCCGCGCCGUAUUAGCUAGUUGGUAAGGUAACGGCUUACCAAGGCGACGGUACGUAGCCGACCUGAGAGGGUGAUCGGCCACACUGGAACUGAGACACGGUCCAGACUCCUACGGGAGGCAGCCGUAGGGAAUCUUCCGCAAUGGACGAAAGCCUGACGGAGCAACGCCGCGUGAGUGAUGAAGGGUUUCGGCUCGUAAAACUCUGUUAUUAGGGAAGAACAAACGUGUAAGUAACUGUGCACGUCUUGACGGUACCUAAUCAGAAAGCCACGGCUAACUACGUG
Molecule: ribosomal RNA, 497 nt
Filed under: uncultured bacterium
Lineage: Bacteria
Description: partial 16S ribosomal RNA
Rfam family: Bacterial small subunit ribosomal RNA
Source: RNAcentral